This 301-nucleotide ribosomal RNA is filed under the name uncultured bacterium. RNAcentral's name for it is "partial 16S ribosomal RNA". It matches the Rfam family "Bacterial small subunit ribosomal RNA", at positions 509 to 809 of the family's 1533-position model. The record is from RNAcentral.
CAGUCGCCACGGGAAUACGGAGGGUGCAAGCGUUAAUCGGAAUUACUGGGCGUAAAGCGCACGCAGGCGGUCUGUCAAGUCAGAUGUGAAAUCCCCGGGCUUAACCUGGGAACUGCAUUUGAAACUGGCAGGCUAGAGUCUUGUAGAGGGGGGUAGAAUUCCAGGUGUAGCGGUGAAAUGCGUAGAGAUCUGGAGGAAUACCGAUGGCGAAGGCAGCCAUCUGGCCUAAUACUGACGCUGAGGUACGAAAGCAUGGGGAGCAAACAGGAUUAGAUACCCGCGUAGUCCCUGUCUCUUAUAU